Molecule: ribosomal RNA, 253 nt
Filed under: uncultured bacterium
Lineage: Bacteria
Description: partial 16S ribosomal RNA
Rfam family: Bacterial small subunit ribosomal RNA
Source: RNAcentral
UACAGAGGGUGCAAGCGUUGUUCGGAAUUAUUGGGCGUAAAGCGCGUGUAGGCGGCUUUGCAAGUCGCGUGUGAAAGCCCCCGGCUCAACUGGGGAGGGUCACGCGAUACUGAUCGACUCGAAGGCAGGAGAGGGUAGUGGAAUUCCCGGUGUAGUGGUGAAAUGCGUAGAUAUCGGGAGGAACACCAGUGGCGAAGGCGACUACCUGGCCUGUUCUUGACGCUGAGGCGCGAAAGCUAGGGGAGCAAACGGG